CAUGCAAGUCGAACGGAAAGGCCCUUUCGGGGGUACACGAGUGGCGAACGGGUGAGUAACACGUGGGUGAUCUGCCCUGCACUUUGGGAUAAGCCUGGGAAACUGGGUCUAAUACCGAAUACACCCUGCUGGUCGCAUGGCCUGGUGGGGGAAAGCUUUUGCGGUGUGGGAUGGGCCCGCGGCCUAUCAGCUUGUUGGUGGGGUGAUGGCCUACCAAGGCGACGACGGGUAGCCGGCCUGAGAGGGUGUCCGGCCACACUGGGACUGAGAUACGGCCCAGACUCCUACGGGAGGCAGCAGUGGGGAAUAUUGCACAAUGGGCGCAAGCCUGAUGCAGCGACGCCGCGUGAGGGAUGACGGCCUUCGGGUUGUAAACCUCUUUCAAUAGGGACGAAGCGUGAGUGACGGUACCUAUAGAAGAAGCACCGGCCAACUACGUGCCAGCAGCCGCGGUAAUACGUAGGGUGCGAGCGUUGUCCGGAAUUACUGGGCGUAAAGAGCUCGUAGGUGGUUUGUCGCGUUGUUCGUGAAAACUCACA
This 539-nucleotide ribosomal RNA is filed under the name uncultured Mycobacterium sp. RNAcentral's name for it is "bacterial SSU rRNA". It matches the Rfam family "Bacterial small subunit ribosomal RNA", at positions 54 to 606 of the family's 1533-position model. Lineage: Bacteria; Bacillati; Actinomycetota; Actinomycetes; Mycobacteriales; Mycobacteriaceae. The record is from RNAcentral.